This 465-nucleotide ribosomal RNA is filed under the name Hemigobius hoevenii. Its description in RNAcentral is "partial 12S ribosomal RNA". It matches the Rfam family "Bacterial small subunit ribosomal RNA", at positions 868 to 1533 of the family's 1533-position model. The record is from RNAcentral. Lineage: Eukaryota; Metazoa; Chordata; Actinopteri; Gobiiformes; Gobiidae.
CUUACCAGGGAACUACGAGCCCCAGCUUAAAACCCAAAGGACUUGGCGGUGCUUUAGACCCCCCUAGAGGAGCCUGUUCUAGAACCGAUAACCCCCGUUCAACCUCACCCUUUCUUGUUUCUCCCGCCUAUAUACCGCCGUCGUCAGCUCACCCUGUGAAGGCCUCAUAGUGAGCAUAAUUGGUUUAACCUAAAACGUCAGGUCGAGGUGUAGCGCAUGAAAGGGGAAGAAAUGGGCUACAUUCACUGACCCAGUGAAAACGAAUAAUGCCUUGAAACAGACAUUUAAAGGAGGAUUUAGCAGUAAGGAGAGAAUAGAGUGCCCCCCUGAAACUGGCCCUGAAGCGCGCACACACCGCCCGUCACUCUCCCCAAACAAAAUAAACUAAUAAAUAAACAGUCUCAGCAAGAAAGGGGAGGCAAGUCGUAACAUGGUAAGUGUACCGGAAGGUGCACUUGGAAAAAU